RNAcentral lists this ribosomal RNA (253 nucleotides) under uncultured bacterium. Its description in RNAcentral is "partial 16S ribosomal RNA". It matches the Rfam family "Bacterial small subunit ribosomal RNA", at positions 524 to 776 of the family's 1533-position model. The record is from RNAcentral.
UACGGAGGGGGCUAGCGUUGUUCGGAAUCACUGGGCGUAAAGCGUGCGUAGGCGGCUUGGUAAGUCAGAGGUGAAAGCCUGGAGCUCAACUCCAGAACUGCCUUUGAGACUGCUUGGCUUGAACACGGGAGAGGUGAGUGGAAUUCCGAGUGUAGAGGUGAAAUUCGUAGAUAUUCGGAAGAACACCAGUGGCGAAGGCGGCUCACUGGACCGUUGUUGACGCUGAGGCACGAAAGCGUGGGGAGCAAACAGG